GAUGAACGCUGGCGGCGUGCCUAAUACAUGCAAGUCGAGCGAACGGACGAGAAGCUUGCUUCUCUGAUGUUAGCGGCGGACGGGUGAGUAACACGUGGAUAACCUACCUAUAAGACUGGGAUAACUUCGGGAAACCGGAGCUAAUACCGGAUAAUAUUUUGAACCGCAUGGUUCAAAAGUGAAAGACGGUCUUGCUGUCACUUAUAGAUGGAUCCGCGCUGCAUUAGCUAGUUGGUAAGGUAACGGCUUACCAAGGCAACGAUGCAUAGCCGACCUGAUAGGAGGAUCGGCCACACUGGAACUGAGACACGGUCGAGACACCUACGGGAGGCCGCAGUGGGGAAUAUGGGGGAAUGGGCUCAAGCCUUAUCCAUCUAUACCGCGGGAAUGAAGAAGGCCUUCGGGUUGUAAAGCCCUUUUGUGGGAAAAGAAAAGCAGCAGGGGAAUACCCCGCUGUUCUGACGGUACCCAAAGAAUAAGCAACGGCUAACUUCGUG
RNAcentral lists this ribosomal RNA (497 nucleotides) under uncultured bacterium. RNAcentral's name for it is "partial 16S ribosomal RNA". It matches the Rfam family "Bacterial small subunit ribosomal RNA", at positions 28 to 507 of the family's 1533-position model. The record is from RNAcentral.